This is a long non-coding RNA of Drosophila willistoni, 555 nucleotides long. RefSeq lists it as uncharacterized. NCBI's taxonomy places the organism in Eukaryota, Metazoa, Arthropoda, Insecta, Diptera, Drosophilidae. The record is from RefSeq and is a predicted model, not a curated record. The transcript has 2 exons.
AUGCAGCAGCCGCCACUCUUAAGACUGACCUUUGUGCCAUCAGGACCAUCGACUAGGCCAUCUUCCAGAUGAUACGGAAUAGAAGUUAAUCUCGCCAUCGGUCAUAUCAGGACCCCAUUUGAGUUGCCAAACGCAUUCGCCAUGCUUACAAUUGACACCUCGGGAGACAUAUAAAGGCUGUUUGCAAUCACCACGCAAAUUAUAGACAGCAACAUUGCCAUCAUAGAGGCCAAUUACAACCAGAAAUGGAUAAGUAGGAUGUAUAUCACAGCACAUGACGCCGCAAUCAGUUUGAACUAAGGCGAGAAGUCAUUUAGAACCUAACCAAGAGAUUAUCCCGCAGCUCUACUCACUUAUGUAAUCCGGGAAUGACGGAUUCUUCACCGUGAAUAGACAAAGAUAACCCUCAUUUGUCUGUUUCAUAAAGUCAUCUGCCAAGUAGAUGAAUAUAAAGAUAUCUCCUCUAAAUAACAAUUUUUCACUACUUACGUGAACCAAAACAAACGGCAAAUAGAUCAUAGUAACUUGGAUUAAACAAUAUAUCGGUGACACUCA